This 253-nucleotide ribosomal RNA is filed under the name uncultured bacterium. RNAcentral's name for it is "partial 16S ribosomal RNA". It matches the Rfam family "Bacterial small subunit ribosomal RNA", at positions 524 to 776 of the family's 1533-position model. The record is from RNAcentral.
UACAGAGGGGGCAAGCGUUGUUCGGAAUUACUGGGCGUAAAGGGCGCGUAGGCGGCCAUGUAAGUCAGACGUGAAAUCCCCCGGCUUAACCUGGGAACUGCGUCUGAUACUGGACGGCUUGAGUAUGGGAGAGGGAUGUAGAAUUCCAGGUGUAGCGGUGAAAUGCGUAGAUAUCUGGAGGAAUACCGGUGGCGAAGGCGGCAUCCUGGACCAUUACUGACGCUGAGGCGCGAAAGCUAGGGGAGCAAACGGG